AGAGUUUGAUCCUGGCUCAGGACGAACGCUGGCGGCGUGCUUAACACAUGCAAGUCGAACGGAAAGGCCCUUCGGGGUGCUCGAGUGGCGAACGGGUGAGUAACACGUGGGUGAUCUGCCCUGCACUUCGGGAUAAGCCUGGGAAACUGGGUCUAAUACCGGAUAGGACUACGAAUCGCAUGGUUUGUGGUGGAAAGCUUUUGCGGUGUGGGAUGGGCCCGCGGCCUAUCAGCUUGUUGGUGGGGUGAUGGCCUACCAAGGCGACGACGGGUAGCCGGCCUGAGAGGGUGUCCGGCCACACUGGGACUGAGAUACGGCCCAGACUCCUACGGGAGGCAGCAGUGGGGAAUAUUGCACAAUGGGCGCAAGCCUGAUGCAGCGACGCCGCGUGAGGGAUGACGGCCUUCGGGUUGUAAACCUCUUUCAAUGGGGACGAAGCGCAAGUGACGGUACCUAUAGAAGAAGCAC
This 468-nucleotide ribosomal RNA is filed under the name uncultured bacterium. RNAcentral's name for it is "bacterial SSU rRNA". It matches the Rfam family "Bacterial small subunit ribosomal RNA", at positions 8 to 493 of the family's 1533-position model. The record is from RNAcentral.